UCCCUGGUGGCUCAGACGGUAAAGCGUCUGCCUGCAGUGCAGGAGACCCUGAUUCGAUCCCUGGGUUGGGAA
This 72-nucleotide transfer RNA is filed under the name Ovis aries (sheep). It matches the Rfam family "tRNA". Rfam says of the family: Transfer RNA (tRNA) molecules are approximately 80 nucleotides in length. Lineage: Eukaryota; Metazoa; Chordata; Mammalia; Artiodactyla; Bovidae. The record is from Rfam by way of RNAcentral.